Prunus persica (peach) is the source of this 987-nucleotide long non-coding RNA. RefSeq lists it as uncharacterized. The transcript is spliced from 2 exons. The record is from RefSeq and is a predicted model, not a curated record. Lineage: Eukaryota; Viridiplantae; Streptophyta; Magnoliopsida; Rosales; Rosaceae.
UAGUAUAGCCGCACGUUCUAACCCGCAGGAUGAGAACGUGGAGGAUGAGAGAUGGGAUCAUGGUGCACCAACUGGUACUGAUGCAUCUCUGGGCAUUGACCCGAACGUGCAGGAAGAAAACAUGGAGGAUGAGGGAUUGGAUCAUGGUGCACCACCUUCACAUGCAUCCCCUAGUGCAAUUGUAGCAGAGGAUAAAUCAAUAUUCACGACGAUGUCAUUCAUUCAUUGUGUGCGCUGUUGGAAGAAGCUCAGCGGGACUUGAAAGCCAAGUUCAAUGAAAUUAUGGCAAAUAGGAAAAGAUCAAUUGGUGAUGCUGUUAGCAGCAAGAAGAAGUUGAAGAUCAGUAGUGAUGCUACCAGGGGCAGACCCACGUUAGUGCAAAGGUGGUCAAUUGACCCCCGCAAUGUCGGAAUCCUCCAUCUGAGUGAAAUAUGUUGACCUCUGCAAAAAGCUGGAUGGCGUUGUGCAAGAGUUGCCUAUCAUCUGUUUGAUAAAGGGCACAGCACAGCAGCAACCCUCCUGCGCAGUGUAAGCAAGUGACUAUGAUGGAGAUCACCGACACUCAUCGAUCAACUACCCGGCACUCUCCCUGCUGUGCCCCAGUCCUCCCCACUAUCCCUGCUGUUCUUUCUACUGGUGGCUCAGUCCCAUGACUCAGAGACUAGUUUGGCUAGCUGCACCAGGUCUGCUACUUGUAUCUGGUUUUAGUGGUCUGUUUGAAAUCUUUCAUUAGGUCUAAUUUGUAGUCUUAAUUAGUGUGUUUUUCUGGUUUGUGGGGGUGUUCAUUGCUGGGUCUAGAACAACGUGCUGGGUGAUCAGCUCAAAGUUCUUGUAAUGCUAGCAGAAGAUGUAGCUACCGAGCUAGGGUUCUCACUUGGCUGCCACACGUUGUACUAGUUUAUCUAUAUAUGUUAUGGUUGAUAAAUGUGAUGGUGUGUUAUUGUAGCAGCCCUAUAAAUGAAGAAGAAGAGUCACCUCAUUUCACUA